UGCCGAAACGCCGGGAGGCGUCGUCACGGGGUGGUGCCCGUGGCCUGACGACGGCAGCCGUCA
This 63-nucleotide non-coding RNA is filed under the name Streptomyces sp. CB03238. The record is from RNAcentral. Lineage: Bacteria; Bacillati; Actinomycetota; Actinomycetes; Kitasatosporales; Streptomycetaceae.